Molecule: long non-coding RNA, 1794 nt
Organism: Strigops habroptila (Kakapo)
Lineage: Eukaryota; Metazoa; Chordata; Aves; Psittaciformes; Psittacidae
Source: Ensembl
UUUGUGAGUAAAUACAGUCUGUGCAAUCCAAUAAUUUAUUAAACUUUCAUAUUGUAAAGCCAGUUACAAAUUAAAAAAGACAGCAGAAGGAAUUCUGUAAUAGAAAUAAGCAAAAUUACAACAAAUAGUAAUGGGAGUUACAUUUCCAAGUGGGUUCAAGCUGCCUGCAGCAACCCAAGAGCCAGAACACAGAGCUAGUGCAGAGUUAGGACAGGGAUAAUCAAGGCUAUUCUGAUACAUAAAGAGAUCUAGUCAGUGUAUGGACCAAUACAAAGUGUUGCUUCUCAGGUUGCCUCCGCAUUCCUGUUCUCUCUCACUUGUGACCUGGUCAUCUUUUCAUUCUUUGUGACAAGAAGGGGAUGUUUGUAGGAUCCUUCAGUAAAGCUAUUUAAGGCAAAACUCCAGUUGAAGUUACAAUGUACAGCAGUGGCUAUCCUCUUAGACUGGUUGUGUGGCAGGUGGACAGAGUGUCUGCACAUGCUGCAGUGCAGUGGAAAUGAGAGAAAAGCAUGGGUUAUGUACAGGGGGGCUUCUUGUACUGUCAAGCUCAAAACUACGGUGUUCUGCAGCACAGUAUUAGUGACAUGGCACAAUCUGAUAACGAAUUCAAACAGAAGCCGUUGCAUACUGACUCCUAGGGUUUUUACUAUGAAAUUUCUAUUUCAUAGCUAACAAACAGGCCUUAUCUGCCACUUCUAUGGAAAUGGAGAUGUCUGAUUUCAAACACGGAACAAGGCCCGCAUCACAUACAGCACUUCAGUUUCAUUAAGAAACUGAAUGGGCCUUUGCAUGCUAGGAUCCCACAACUUAACAAGGGUCAUAGUAAAUGGCUAGCCACCAAGUUUCUUGAUUACUGAUGCAACCAAUUUAUGAUGUGACUGAUACUGAAUAUUGUUUUAAACUAUGAAAUCAAGUUUCUGAAGUCAAGAGACUGAAGAUGACUGUCAUCUUUCACUGAGAAAAAAGAAUUCUGUUUCUUCAAAUUGCGAGUAGCUAUAAAACCCUCCAAGAAGCAGUUGUUUUGGCAAAACAGGUUUGUUUUCAAGUUUUGCUGAUGACUAGGGACCUAGAGGAGAUUGGAAGUGUAUCUGGGGAUUCACCGAUGGGAUCAGUUCCAAUUAGAAUUGAGAGGAGGAUGAAAGGUUUGGCAUCUGCUUACAGUAGUAUUGGGGAAGUGAGAAUCUUACCUAUAACAAUUUAUCUAGGCAUCUAUUUGCUCUGUAAGAAACAGUUCACUUACUUACUUAAAACUAAAGUUCAGGAAUCCCAGUCAUCCUAAAAUUUCAUAUAAAGAAAGAAUGAACUUAAUGCAGGCAGGCUGCUCACUAUAAAAACCCCUGACCUUCAUCUAAAACUUGGAGUUUGUGAAGAGCAGCUCUUCUGGAGAUGCAGCUAAAUCAAUCUCACCUCCUCAGCUGUAUGGGGGAAAGGCAGUCAUUCAUUUUUAGGCAUUAGGUGCUGUUUGGAAUGUUCUCGGAAUGGUGCCUGCUGACCUGUUUCAGUGGUGUUAGUCCCAAAGGUUUUCUCCUGUGUUGGAGUACUUAGAAUUUUAACUUAAAGUGCCACUUUUUACAGUUGUGUACCUGUGAACUUAUAUUGGAAGGUGAAGAAUCACCCUGGGUGGUUUUAUGUUUGUUUAAUGCUUUCUCAAGUAGGGUUUAACCUCUUAGUUGGCCCAGCUGGCUUCAAUUUUUCAAAGGCAUUUUCUUUUCAGACCAGAUCAGAUCAUUGGUAUAUCCUGAAGAAAAAACCCACAGUGACUUUUAUUUUGGAGUUGCUUGCAAAAUAAAUAAA